CAGAGGGUGCAAGCGUUAAUCGGAAUUACUGGGCGUAAAGGGCGCGUAGGUGGUUACGUAAGUGAGAUGUGAAAUCCCCGGGCUUAACCUGGGUAUUGCAUCUUAUACUGUGUAGCUGGAGUGCGAUAGAGGGUAGUGGAAUUUCCGGUGUGGCGGUGAAAUGCGUAGAUAUCGGAAGGAACACCAGUGGCGAAGGCGGCUACCUGGAUUGACACUGGCACUGAGGCGCGAGAGCGUGGGGAGCAAACAGGAUUAGAUACCCUGGUAGUCCACGCCGUAAACGAUGAAAACUAGAUGUUGGGCAGCUUAGACUGUUUAGUAUCGAAGCUAACGCGAUAAGUUUUCCGCCUGGGGAGUACGGUCGCAAGAUUA
This 372-nucleotide ribosomal RNA is filed under the name uncultured organism. Its description in RNAcentral is "bacterial SSU rRNA". It matches the Rfam family "Bacterial small subunit ribosomal RNA", at positions 526 to 896 of the family's 1533-position model. The record is from RNAcentral.